Molecule: ribosomal RNA, 240 nt
Filed under: uncultured Lactobacillus sp.
Lineage: Bacteria; Bacillati; Bacillota; Bacilli; Lactobacillales; Lactobacillaceae
Description: partial 16S ribosomal RNA
Rfam family: Bacterial small subunit ribosomal RNA
Source: RNAcentral
UAACCUGCCCAAGAGAUCGGGAUAACACCUGGAAACAGAUGCUAAUACCGGAUAACAACAGAUGAUGCCUAUCAACUGUUUAAAAGAUGGUUCUGCUAUCACUCUUGGAUGGACCUGCGGUGCAUUAGCUAGUUGGUAAGGUAACGGCUUACCAAGGCGAUGAUGCAUAGCCGAGUUGAGAGACUGAUCGGCCACAUUGGGACUGAGACACGGCCCAAACUCCUACGGGAGGCAGCAGAA